AGUGAACGCUGGCGGUAGACCUAACACAUGCAAGUCGAACGGCAGCACAGUAAGAGCUUGCUCUUACGGGUGGCGAGUGGCGGACGGGUGAGGAAUACAUCGGAAUCUACUUUUUCGUGGGGGAUAACGUAGGGAAACUUACGCUAAUACCGCAUACGACCUACGGGUGAAAGCAGGGGAUCUUCGGACCUUGCGCGAUUGAAUGAGCCGAUGUCGGAUUAGCUAGUUGGCGGGGUAAAGGCCCACCAAGGCGACGAUCCGUAGCUGGUCUGAGAGGAUGAUCAGCCACCCUCGAACUGAGACACGGUCCAGACUCCUACGGGAGGCAGCAGUGGGGAAUAUUGGACAAAGGGCGCAAGCCUGAUCCAGCCAUACCGCGUGGGUGAAGAAGGCCUUCGGGUUGUAAAGCCCUUUUGUUGGGAAAGAAAAGCAGCAGGUUAAUACCCCGCUGUUCUGACGGUACCCAAAGAAUAAGCACCGGCUAACUUCGUG
This 492-nucleotide ribosomal RNA is filed under the name uncultured bacterium. Its description in RNAcentral is "partial 16S ribosomal RNA". It matches the Rfam family "Bacterial small subunit ribosomal RNA", at positions 29 to 507 of the family's 1533-position model. The record is from RNAcentral.